This 74-nucleotide transfer RNA is filed under the name Rhodospirillales bacterium. RNAcentral describes it as "tRNA-Cys". It matches the Rfam family "tRNA". Rfam says of the family: Transfer RNA (tRNA) molecules are approximately 80 nucleotides in length. Their secondary structure includes four short double-helical elements and three loops (D, anti-codon, and T loops). Further hydrogen bonds mediate the characteristic L-shaped molecular structure. tRNAs have two regions of fundamental functional importance: the anti-codon, which is responsible for specific mRNA codon recognition, and the 3' end, to which the tRNAs corresponding amino acid is attached (by aminoacyl-tRNA synthetases). tRNAs cope with the degeneracy of the genetic code in two manners: having more than one tRNA (with a specific anti-codon) for a particular amino acid; and 'wobble' base-pairing, i.e. permitting non-standard base-pairing at the 3rd anti-codon position. The record is from RNAcentral. Lineage: Bacteria; Pseudomonadati; Pseudomonadota; Alphaproteobacteria; Rhodospirillales.
GGCGCGGUGGCAGAGUGGCUAUGCAGAGGCCUGCAAAGCCUUGUACGUCGGUUCGAUUCCGGCCCGCGCCUCCA